RNAcentral lists this ribosomal RNA (969 nucleotides) under Enterococcus faecium. Its description in RNAcentral is "bacterial SSU rRNA". It matches the Rfam family "Bacterial small subunit ribosomal RNA", at positions 38 to 977 of the family's 1533-position model. Lineage: Bacteria; Bacillati; Bacillota; Bacilli; Lactobacillales; Enterococcaceae. The record is from RNAcentral.
GGCGGCGUGCCUAAUACAUGCAAGUCGAACGCUUCUUUUUCCACCGGAGCUUGCUCCACCGGAAAAAGAGGAGUGGCGAACGGGUGAGUAACACGUGGGUAACCUGCCCAUCAGAAGGGGAUAACACUUGGAAACAGGUGCUAAUACCGUAUAACAAUCAAAACCGCAUGGUUUUGAUUUGAAAGGCGCUUUCGGGUGUCGCUGAUGGAUGGACCCGCGGUGCAUUAGCUAGUUGGUGAGGUAACGGCUCACCAAGGCCACGAUGCAUAGCCGACCUGAGAGGGUGAUCGGCCACAUUGGGACUGAGACACGGCCCAAACUCCUACGGGAGGCAGCAGUAGGGAAUCUUCGGCAAUGGACGAAAGUCUGACCGAGCAACGCCGCGUGAGUGAAGAAGGUUUUCGGAUCGUAAAACUCUGUUGUUAGAGAAGAACAAGGAUGAGAGUAACUGUUCAUCCCUUGACGGUAUCUAACCAGAAAGCCACGGCUAACUACGUGCCAGCAGCCGCGGUAAUACGUAGGUGGCAAGCGUUGUCCGGAUUUAUUGGGCGUAAAGCGAGCGCAGGCGGUUUCUUAAGUCUGAUGUGAAAGCCCCCGGCUCAACCGGGGAGGGUCAUUGGAAACUGGGAGACUUGAGUGCAGAAGAGGAGAGUGGAAUUCCAUGUGUAGCGGUGAAAUGCGUAGAUAUAUGGAGGAACACCAGUGGCGAAGGCGGCUCUCUGGUCUGUAACUGACGCUGAGGCUCGAAAGCGUGGGGAGCAAACAGGAUUAGAUACCCUGGUAGUCCACGCCGUAAACGAUGAGUGCUAAGUGUUGGAGGGUUUCCGCCCUUCAGUGCUGCAGCUAACGCAUUAAGCACUCCGCCUGGGGAGUACGACCGCAAGGUUGAAACUCAAAGGAAUUGACGGGGGCCCGCACAAGCGGUGGAGCAUGUGGUUUAAUUCGAAGCAACGCGAAGAACCUUACCAG